UAUUUAGUCUCUGUUUCCUCCCUUCUCUGUCAGUUCAUUUUUUAGUCUUACCUUUGCGUUACGUCUUACUGUGUCACAGUGCUCUCAUAUUUCCUGUGGAUCUUUAUUUAAGAAAAGCUGCAGAACUGCCACCACCUCAUGAGAGCCCUCCAUCCGUCCCCUGAGACUCGGCACUCCACUGAGAGAUCCUCCGGUGCUGCAAAUGAACACUGCUGUUACCUCAAAUGAAACAAAGCCUGUAGCUGUAGAAGUGAAUCACUCUUUGAAUUCAGAAUCUCAUCUCUGUCUCUUUGUGCUGCAUUUUACCCUCCUCUAUUUUAGCUCCUAAUUAGACUCCAGAGUUCCAAAGAGGCACAGGAGAUUUUACAGGAAACGUAUUUUACACCACCGCUCAUUCAAAAGACGACAAGGAAGACAGAACAUCCUACUUGAAAACAUGCUGAAGUUUUGGAAUUCCCCAGAUAUCAAGAGCUGCUUUUUCUGUCAUUUUGGUUUGAGGUACAAAAAAAAAAAAAAAGUUCAUGUUUCUUUCAACUGAGAGAGAAAUGUAAAAACUUUCAAGUCAGCUUAAAUAUAUUCAACAGAAAAUCAGAGGAGUCAAGAUGUAUUAAAGUAUGUAUGUGAAAUAUGGCAAGAGAGUCAAGUUAACUGAAAACAUACAACAUCACAAAAGUCAAUAUCAUCCAUGAUGCUUUCAUCGUGUCUUUCAAGUACCUUAUUUCACUAAAUGCUGAAGGUCUGGAGAAGAACAUAAAAAAUAAUACAACACUGACUUUCCUCCUUUGGUGAUGGACAGCAAGAGAGCCUCACCAAGCUUUGAAUGUAACAUGCAUGUCAUUUGUGCACUGACACAGUAACGUGGUCAUGCUGAAAGACAUAAUAAGGCCUUUGUGCUGCAAGAAUAAAACUUCAAACUGAAACACAUGAGUUUAAAAUCUGUGCUGGCUGACACAUAUACGUACUGUACUUUGGUGACUGUUUCACAAACUGCUGUGAGACUGGUUCACGAGAGGACACUGCUGCUUUGAAAACGGAUUAAAUCUGCUGCUUGAUGUUUUUGCAGCACCUAAAA
Notolabrus celidotus (New Zealand spotty) is the source of this 1072-nucleotide long non-coding RNA. RefSeq lists it as uncharacterized. The transcript has 2 exons. Lineage: Eukaryota; Metazoa; Chordata; Actinopteri; Labriformes; Labridae. The record is from RefSeq and is a predicted model, not a curated record.